AUGGUCUCCACCAGGCAGCGGGCUCACCUCAAGAAGACUGUGGCGACCCAGACGGAGGGCCUGCCCAGAGAUGUAGCAGUUCAGGUCUCAGGCUGCAGGGAGUGCCUGAGCCUGCUGCUGCCGGGGGAGGGUGGCAGCAAUUCCACCUGUGUGAGGUGUGAGCAGGUGGAUGAGCUGCUCAGCAUGGUAGUGGAUCUCAAGGAGGAGGUAGAGAGAUUAAGAUCCAUCAGGGAAUGUGAGCAGGAAAUAGACUGGUGGUGUAACUCUCUGCAGGAAAGACACCGGAGUGAAACCCCUCAGACGGUGGCAGAUCCUCUCGCCUGCCAUGAUCGAGCUGAGGGAAACAAACUGGGAGAAGAGGAGGAAUGGAAGCAGGUCCCAGCUCGACGACGCAGGCAACCCCCAUCCCGGCCUACCUCGGUUCUCCAGGUGCCUCUGUGUAACAGGUUUGAGGCCCUGGAACCUGAGAGAGAGGUGAGUGAGGAUGCAGGAGGAGCUCUGCCUGCAAGGUUGCCAAAGUUGCCCAAGGUGAGGCGGUCAACUCCACGGCUUGAGACUGCCUCUGCCAGGAAGGACAGAAGGGUGAUCGUCACAGGCGAUUCCCUUCUGGGGGGAAUGGAGGGCCCUAUAUGUCGGCCUGACCCUACCCGUAGGGAGGUGUGCUGUCUCCCUGGGGCUCGGGUCAGGGAUAUCUCUAGAAAACUCCCCAGUUUGAUCCACUCCUCUGAUUAUUAUCCCUUACUAAUAGUACAGGCCGGCAGCGAUGAGACUGCUGACAGAAGCCUGAAACUUAUCAAGAAUGACUUCAGGGGACUAGGGCGGUUAGUUCAGGGAAUAGAAGCACAGGUAGUAUUUUCUUCCAUCCCUUCACUGACAGAGAAGGACACUGAAAGGGGCAGGAAAACCCAUCUCCUAAACAUGUGGCUGAGAGGCUGGAGCAAACGCAAGAAUUUUGGGUUCUUUGAUCACGGGGUGGUUUACUCGGCACCAGGCCUGAGGUCUGCUGAUGGGUCCGGCCUGUCUCAAAGGGGGAAACGCAUCCUUGCCCAGGAGCUGGCAGGGCUUAUAGAGAGGGCUUUAAACUAG
This 1086-nucleotide long non-coding RNA is filed under the name Numida meleagris (helmeted guineafowl). Its description in RNAcentral is "lncRNA (ENSNMEG00000000532.1)". The record is from RNAcentral. Lineage: Eukaryota; Metazoa; Chordata; Aves; Galliformes; Numididae.